CAGCCGCCGCGGUAAUACGGAGGGUGCAAGCGUUAAUCGGAAUUACUGGGCGUAAAGCGCACGCAGGCGGUUUGUUAAGUCAGAUGCGAAAUCCCCGGGCUCAACCUGGGAACUGCAUCUGAUACUGGCAAGCUUGAGUCUCGUAGAGGGGGGUAGAAUUCCAGGUGUAGCGGUGAAAUGCGUAGAGAUCUGGAGGAAUACCGGUGGCGAAGGCGGCCCCCUGGACGAAGACUGACGCUCAGGUGCGAAAGCGUGGGGAGCAAACAGGAUUAGAUACCCUGGUAGUCCACGCCGUAAACGAUGUCGACUUGGAGGUUGUGCCCUUGAGGCGUGGCUUCCGGAGCUAACGCGUUAAGUCGACCGCCUGGGGAGUACGGCCGCAAGGUUAAACUCAAAUGAAUUGACGG
Molecule: ribosomal RNA, 407 nt
Filed under: uncultured Gammaproteobacteria bacterium
Lineage: Bacteria; Pseudomonadati; Pseudomonadota; Gammaproteobacteria
Description: bacterial SSU rRNA
Rfam family: Bacterial small subunit ribosomal RNA
Source: RNAcentral